Molecule: long non-coding RNA, 1568 nt
Organism: Cryptomeria japonica (Japanese cedar)
Lineage: Eukaryota; Viridiplantae; Streptophyta; Pinopsida; Cupressales; Cupressaceae
Exons: 5
Source: RefSeq, a predicted model, not a curated record
UUUUUCUAAAAUAAAACAUUUUUUUUCCCUCUCUUUUCUUGGCGCUCAAUCAUCUGCCCUCUUCCCUGCUCCCGCGGCGGCAGCGGCAUGCAGUUAUCAACGCAGGAAGAAUUAGGCUUUGCCCAUAUUUUCCCAUCCGCUUCACUGACAGGAUAAAAUGUAAGGGUUUUUUAUGUGUAGGGGUUUUUCAAUGGAUGCAUGGCACCGGGUGCAUAGCUACUACAAUUUCCAUCUUGGCCCUUCGUCGGACAGCCCACUUCUUGCAAUCUGAUCUGCCCAUAUUUUCCCAUCAGCUUCUACUGCUCACUAUCACCAGCUAAGACACAGGCAAGUUCGUGUAUUUUAAAAAAAAAUCUUCUUUGGUAGGGUUCUGUAAUACGUGAACGUGUCUUCUUAGUGCCUGUAGAUCAUUUAUAUGGAUCAUUUGAUAGAUUCCCUCUAAAGAGAUGUUGUUUCAAUGAAUGUGGGGAAAGAGCAGGGACGACUGAAUCGUAAUAGCUGGUAAUUGGUUAUUUGAAUUCAUUGUCAUAUUCAAAUUCCGAUUUGAAAAGGGCCCUUUUGCUUCAGGACAUACCCAAAAUGCUCAACCUUUCCCCGUAAAAUUACUUCUUGUGGCUCCACAAAGAUGUUUUCGAUCUUCUUAGACCAUAGUUGCCCUAAUGAUGACAUAUUGUAAACAAGGCUUCUAGUAGAAGAAAGAAGCCCUUCGACAGGUGUUGGCGAUUUAGAUCGCUCAGGGGUUUUUUCGGUGCGGGACGGUCGGGAAUCUCCUGUAAGAGUGCGCUCUGCCAAAGAGGGGCUUAAGAAUCGUGGCCGUGUCAGCAAACCCUAACUUGCGAUGUUUUUUGGACUCUUCUUCCAUCAGUGUUGGCACUGGGAGUUACUUGCAGGCUACGUGACAUGGGGUUGGUGUUUCGGUGGCUGGGUUGCCUCCUGCUCAUCAGCCACGACACUCUUCAGAUUGUGGUGUUGGGAGCUCUGCUCUUGGCUCAAAUGUUGUCCCAUCGUCUCCACCCCUUGGACGGGAAAACUCUUCUAGGUUUGGCGAUCCUUGUCCCCUUGGUUCUGCUAUUCGCAAAUUAAAAUACUUGGAUAGGUAAUGUUGUGCAACGAGAUACUCUUUGGGAAUUCGAUCCGACGACCUAGUGGCUAUCAAUUGAAAAGAGGCUAUUAUGUCAAAGCUUGCAACUUUUAACAAUGGUGAAAUAAAUGCAGAACCAUCAUUGUUGAUAACUGCAGAUCAAAGCCUUGGAUAAUUACAGCAUAGCCAGACAAAUUUCUGGUCUUAUUCUCCUCAUGCAGAAUUACAUCAUAUUAUUAGCGGUAAUUUAACCUGGAGGAUUAACAAGAGGGAAAUCUAUGGAGAUAAAAUGGAGGAGUUUUCACAACGGUCUUGUUACCGUUCAGGGUAGUGCAAUUCUGAGGGUGACUUCAGAGAGCUAGACAAAAAAACUGGGUUGACUAUAGAUGAACAACUUUAAAUUUGAGUCUCUUGCAUCUAUUGUAUUCUUGAGUCUUAAAAGGUAUUUUCCUAAUUAGAGAGCAAUAUCACAAUCAAAUUAUUUUCA